GAUGAACGCUGGCGGCGUGCCUAACACAUGCAAGUCGAGCGAGAAACCAUCGAUUGAAACUUCGGUAGAUAUUGAAGGCGGAAAGCGGCGGACGGGUGAGUAACGCGUAGGCAACCUGCCCUUUGCAGAGGGAUAGCAACGGGAAACUGUUAUUAAAACCUCAUAAUACCGACAUGUCAAAUGACAAGACGGUCAAAGAUUUAUCGGCAAAGGAUGGGCCUGCGUCUGAUUAGUUAGUUGGUAGGGUAACGGCCUACCAAGGCAGCGAUCAGUAGCCGACCUGAGAGGGUGAUCGGCCACAUUGGAACUGAGACACGGUCCAAACUCCUACGGGAGGCAGCAGUGGGGAAUAUUGCACAAUGGGCGAAAGCCUGAUGCAGCAACGCCGCGUGAAGGAUGAAGGCCCCAGGGUCGUAAAGCUCUGUCGGGGGGGAAGAAGUUCUGACGGUACCCCCCAAGAAAGCACCGGCUAACUCCGUGCCAGCAGCCGCGGUAAUGUGACU
RNAcentral lists this ribosomal RNA (503 nucleotides) under uncultured bacterium. RNAcentral describes it as "bacterial SSU rRNA". It matches the Rfam family "Bacterial small subunit ribosomal RNA", at positions 28 to 530 of the family's 1533-position model. The record is from RNAcentral.